RNAcentral lists this unclassified non-coding RNA (674 nucleotides) under Leishmania donovani. RNAcentral describes it as "gene:unknown". Lineage: Eukaryota; Euglenozoa; Kinetoplastea; Trypanosomatida; Trypanosomatidae. The record is from RNAcentral.
CACGCACGUACAUUGUGAGCUUCCGUGAGUGGUUUUGCAACACAUUGAGGGUAUCUCCCUUUUUUCUUGUAGCUUCCACGCUACCACACCAACCCCUUCGCUGCGGCUACUGUCGGAUGGGUACGCGGCGAAAUCGAGCGUCGACUCAUACGCUUGACGGUGUUAGUAUCCGUUUGCCUCCGCGCUGCUCUCUGCUCCCUUUUCUUCGUCGUCCGUCUUUUCGCUUUGUCGGGUGCAUUCCCUCCCCGCGUCGCUCUGUGACCGAGCGAUACGUGCCGUUGCGUGCAUACAAGCGCUUGUGUGUCGACUGCGUGUGCAAGUCGAUGCUUAUGCUUUUUAGUGUGACGGUUAGGGAGUCGAAGUACGGAAAGGCAGUGCGCCCGUAAAGCGGGCGAAGGGGCAUCAUUUGUGUGCAUAAUUCGCUUACUCUUCUUUGGUUUUAGCUUUUCUCGGCUCGGAUCACUCAUAUCGUCGCGUCGCUGCCCCAUUCCAUCCAGCCGUACAGCUACAGGCGCCCCGCGCGCAGAUCGACAGAAGAAGUGGAAACCCCGAUCCCUGCAUCGUCUUGUUGGAUUUUGACCGUUAACUCGCCGGGCUUUUCUCUCUCUCUCUAUACCAUCUCUCUCACCUCUCCACCGAGCGUGCCGUCUGUCGGGGGGGGGCUCCAUCGCUAG